GAUGAACGCUGGCGGCGUGCCUAAUACAUGCAAGUCGAGCGAACGGACGAGAAGCUUGCUUCUCUGAUGUUAGCGGCGGACGGGUGAGUAACACGUGGAUAACCUACCUAUAAGACUGGGAUAACUUCGGGAAACCGGAGCUAAUACCGGAUAAUAUUUUGAACCGCAUGGUUCAAAAGUGAAAGACGGUCUUGCUGUCACUUAUAGAUGGAUCCGCGCUGCAUUAGCUAGUUGGUAAGGUAACGGCUUACCAAGGCAACGAUGCAUAGCCGACCUGAGAGGGUGAUCGGCCACACUGGAACUGAGACACGGUCCAGACUCCUACGGGAGGCAGCAGUAGGGAAUCUUCCGCAAUGGGCGAAAGCCUGACGGAGCAACGCCGCGUGAGUGAUGAAGGUCUUCGGAUCGUAAAACUCUGUUAUUAGGGAAGAACAUAUGUGUAAGUAACUGUGCACAUCUUGACGGUACCUAAUCAGAAAGCCACGGCUAACUACGUGCCAGCAGCCGCGGUAAUACGUAGGUGGCAAGCGUUAUCCGGAAUUAUUGGGCGUAAAGCGCGCGUAGGCGGUUUUUUAAGUCUGAUGUGAAAGCCCACGGCUCAACCGUGGAGGGUCAUUGGAAACUGGAAAACUUGAGUGCAGAAGAGGAAAGUGGAAUUCCAUGUGUAGCGGUGAAAUGCGCAGAGAUAUGGAGGAACACCAGUGGCGAAGGCGACUUUCUGGUCUGUAACUGACGCUGAUGUGCGAAAGCGUGGGGACCAAACAGGAUUAGAUACCCUGGUAGUCCACGCCGUAAACGAUGAGUGCUAAGUGUUAGGGGGUUUCCGCCCCUUAGUGCUGCAGCUAACGCACUAAGCACUCCGCCUGGGGAGUACGACCGCAAGGUUGAAACUCAAAGGAAUUGACGGGGACCCGCACAAGCGGUGGAGCAUGUGGUUUAAUUCGAAGCAACGCGAAGAACCUUACCAAAUCUUGACAUCCUUUGACAACUCUAGAGAUAGAGCCUUCCCCUUCGGGGGACAAAGUGACAGGUGGUGCAUGGUUGUCGUCAGCUCGUGUCGUGAGAUGUUGGGUUAAGUCCCGCAACGAGCGCAACCCUUAAGCUUAGUUGCCAUCAUUAAGUUGGGCACUCUAAGUUGACUGCCGGUGACAAACCGGAGGAAGGUGGGGAUGACGUCAAAUCAUCAUGCCCCUUAUGAUUUGGGCUACACACGUGCUACAAUGGACAAUACAAAGGGCAGCGAAACCGCGAGGUCAAGCAAAUCCCAUAAAGUUGUUCUCAGUUCGGAUUGUAGUCUGCAACUCGACUACAUGAAGCUGGAAUCGCUAGUAAUCGUAGAUCAGCAUGCUACGGUGAACACGUUCCCGGGUCU
RNAcentral lists this ribosomal RNA (1372 nucleotides) under uncultured bacterium. RNAcentral's name for it is "bacterial SSU rRNA". It matches the Rfam family "Bacterial small subunit ribosomal RNA", at positions 28 to 1381 of the family's 1533-position model. The record is from RNAcentral.